This 253-nucleotide ribosomal RNA is filed under the name uncultured bacterium. RNAcentral's name for it is "partial 16S ribosomal RNA". It matches the Rfam family "Bacterial small subunit ribosomal RNA", at positions 524 to 776 of the family's 1533-position model. The record is from RNAcentral.
UACGUAGGGUGCAAGCGUUAUCCGGAUUCACUGGGUUUAAAGGGUGCGUAGGUAGCUUUAUAAGUCAGUGGUGAAAUGCCGCAGCUCAACUGCGGAACUGCCAUUGAUACUGUUUAGCUUGAAUCACGUCGAGGUGGAUGGAAUAUUACAUGUAGCGGUGAAAUGCUUAGAUAUGUAAUAGAACACCGAUUGCGAAGGCAGUUCACUAGGCGUGCAUUGACACUGAGGCACGAAAGCGUGGGGAUCAAACAGG